Molecule: ribosomal RNA, 543 nt
Filed under: Trichoderma atroviride
Lineage: Eukaryota; Fungi; Ascomycota; Sordariomycetes; Hypocreales; Hypocreaceae
Description: eukaryotic LSU rRNA
Rfam family: 5.8S ribosomal RNA (bases 151-304)
Source: RNAcentral
CCAAACUGUUGCCUCGGCGGGGUCACGCCCCGGGUGCGUCGCAGCCCCGGAACCAGGCGCCCGCCGGAGGGACCAACCAAACUCUUUUCUGUAGUCCCCUCGCGGACGUUAUUUCUUACAGCUCUGAGCAAAAAAUUCAAAAUGAAUCAAAACUUUCAACAACGGAUCUCUUGGUUCUGGCAUCGAUGAAGAACGCAGCGAAAUGCGAUAAGUAAUGUGAAUUGCAGAAUUCAGUGAAUCAUCGAAUCUUUGAACGCACAUUGCGCCCGCCAGUAUUCUGGCGGGCAUGCCUGUCCGAGCGUCAUUUCAACCCUCGAACCCCUCCGGGGGGUCGGCGUUGGGGACCUCGGGAGCCCCUAAGACGGGAUCCCGGCCCCGAAAUACAGUGGCGGUCUCGCCGCAGCCUCUCCUGCGCAGUAGUUUGCACAACUCGCACCGGGAGCGCGGCGCGUCCACGUCCGUAAAACACCCAACUUCUGAAAUGUUGACCUCGGAUCAGGUAGGAAUACCCGCUGAACUUAAGCAUAUCAAUAAGCGGAGGAA